UACGUAGGGUGCAAGCGUUGUCCGGAAUUAUUGGGCGUAAAGGGCUCGUAGGCGGUCCAUCGCGUCGGGAGUGAAAAGCUGGGGCUUAACCCCAGUCCUGCUUCCGAUACGGGUGGACUAGAGGUAGAUAGGGGAGAACGGAAUUCCUGGUGUAGCGGUGAAAUGCGCAGAUAUCAGGAAGAACACCCGUGGCGAAGGCGGCUCUCUGGAACGCAACUGACGCUGAGACGCGAAAGCGUGGGGAGCAAACAGG
Molecule: ribosomal RNA, 253 nt
Filed under: uncultured bacterium
Lineage: Bacteria
Description: partial 16S ribosomal RNA
Rfam family: Bacterial small subunit ribosomal RNA
Source: RNAcentral